RNAcentral lists this ribosomal RNA (236 nucleotides) under uncultured Candidatus Saccharibacteria bacterium. Its description in RNAcentral is "partial 16S ribosomal RNA". It matches the Rfam family "Bacterial small subunit ribosomal RNA", at positions 584 to 818 of the family's 1533-position model. Lineage: Bacteria; Candidatus Saccharimonadota. The record is from RNAcentral.
UAAGCAGCGUGUGAAAAUGAUGAGGCUCAACCUCAUGUCCAUGCGCUGAACUGCUAAGCUAGAGCAUGAUAGAGGUAGCUGGAAUUCCUAGUGUAGGAGUGAAAUCCGUAGAUAUUAGGAGGAACACCGAUGGCGUAGGCAGGCUACUGGAUCAUUGCUGACGCUCAGGCACGAAAGCGUGGGGAGCGACCGGGAUUAGAUGCCCCGUUAGUCCACGCCGUAAACUAUGGAUGCUA